AUCUACAGUAUGGCGACAGAUGUGAAGUGUCGCUAUGUUGUAUCGUGAUUGAAGAUACGCUAAUGAUGGCGUCUGAUAAUAGCUCUGUCGUCAAUGAAGUAUUGGUCAUCUUUAACAGUCCGUCUGUCUCCGCUGACAACCACCUUCCACUCUGCAUGUGCCUUCCCUCGCAAGACAACUCUAACCGCUGAAACAAAAGGAAUGUUGCUUCGUUACUUUAUUAUAACGUGUCAGUGUGUACCUCUUGAGCGCAUCGCUCGAUAUUUUCCCAUCCCUUCGCGCACGGAGCAGAAAAUAUGACAGCGCAGUCCAUUCAGAGGGGUUGCAGGUGG
Molecule: long non-coding RNA, 332 nt
Organism: Zootermopsis nevadensis
Lineage: Eukaryota; Metazoa; Arthropoda; Insecta; Blattodea; Termopsidae
Source: RefSeq, a predicted model, not a curated record